Molecule: long non-coding RNA, 2908 nt
Filed under: Capsicum annuum
Lineage: Eukaryota; Viridiplantae; Streptophyta; Magnoliopsida; Solanales; Solanaceae
Description: long non-coding RNA (CANN_LNC009526)
Source: RNAcentral
GAGGGAAUGCAUAUUGCGCGCUUGAAUGAUUGCAACACACUAGACCAAAAGUUAUUCAUUACUCAAGCCAAGACAAAUGACAUCAAUUCUUUCUCAAGAACAAAACUCUUAUGAUCAAUGCAGUAACUGAAUAAUUGAAUAUCCCUCUGAUUUAGUCAUUUAGAAGAAAAAGAAUUCCACGCUUCAUGCAUAUGAAACAUCAAGAUGACAAAAAGAGAAUAAUAUCACACUACCAAAGGAAUACAUUGAUUGCCAACGAAAAGACCCUACUAAUCCAGUAUAUAUACCUCACAACUAUUCAUCUGAUUUUAUUGCAUAGUAUAUGUCUUAGUUACUCUUGGCAUCUAUAGAUAAUAGACUCAUCUACCGAUCUCGUAGCAUUCCUCUAUCCAAACCACACAAAGAUUUUAACAACAAAGAGGAGAGGAAUGGCAUUUUAAUAACAGCACAUUCCAAGAAAAAUGUGGAAAGAAGUAUCAGCUCCCGGAACAAAAAGGAUAGAUAACAGAAGAAACCAGCAGACAUUUGACCCAGUUAUGUUUUCUCUGCAUGUAUGGUCGUCCACCAUAAUGCGCAGCUAUGUUUCUAUAGUGCUUCUGAAGUCAAUCCAAUAUCAACUAGAUUUCAAUAACAAAUAGGUCCGAUAACUUCCUUUGAGGCUUUUACGACCAGAAAUUUCUUUUCAAACCUCCAACAGUGUAAGAUUCUGAAAGCCACAGUUUCAGGUCUGAGUCUACAUGUUUUUUUAUCAAGUAAAUUGCUAUAGCUAUAACAGAGACAAACACUAGGUGAUUUCUUCCCAUUUCGUGGACAGAGUUACCUAGUACCUGUAGUUGGUGGAGGUGGCAGGUAUCCCGAGGAUUUAGUCGAGGUGCGCGCAAGCUGGCCCGAACACCACGGUUAUCAAAAAUAGCUAUAGUAGAGAAAUUUUUGGAAUGUUGGGCAUUAUAAGUCAGAACAUACAAAAGAACUAACUAGAAUAUAUUUUUUUUUUAGAACAAUGGUGUCCUGGCCAGGUUACCCACACUUCGACUAAUUCCACGGGAUACCUGCCACCUCCCACCAGCAACAAGCACCAGGUAACUCUGUCCACCAAGGUUAAAACAGAUAGGAAGAAAUCACCUAGUGUUUCUCUAACCUCAUGUUGCUCAACCCACUUUAUUGAACCACUAGGCCACACACUUGGGUACGAACUAAUUAGAAUAUAUUAAAUGGUUAGUGGCCUAAAGCAUGAUGUCAUGAUGCUGCCUCUUAAUAUCUGUGAAAAUAUCAGGUGUAUAUACAUUAGGUUACAUGCUAAUGGAUAUGUUCUGUAGGAUUACCAUAUAUUUUGCAACAAAAAUUUGACGAAACGCGUGAAUUUUUAAUCAAUUAUCUUCAAAGUCGCAUAAACUAUAGUAGGAAAUCUCCAAGCUGAACACAUCUAUUAACACAUACACCAAGAAUGUAUGUAGUUUUCAUUUCUGAUGCAACACACCCUCUCCCUAUGUAAAAGAAAACAGAGCAACUUUUUAUGUCUGACUGCCAUACAACUACUCUCCCUCACAAUAAAAGGAGAAGGUUUGAUAUUGAACAUGCAUUUGAUACAGAUACAAAGAGCAAUGACAUAAUGUUUAUUCAAUGAUCUGACAAUGCAAGUGACCAAGGCUUGUAGUUUAGUGGCACCAGGAGUGUCCCAUACUAUAUAAGUUUGUGUUGAAUUCUCGUCGUCCCUCAUUCCUAUUCCCCUUCCCUAAUACCCUAGGUAAUUAAAUUAAAAAAUUAAAGAGAGAGAGAACCAUGCACUAGCCUGCUUAACAACUAAUUAGCAUCAAAAACUGAAUUCUUGGCCUCCCAAAAGGUGGCAUAUUUUCCUCAUGGCAUAAUCUUCGCUCUAGCAUAGAGGAAAUCCCCAAUUUCAUACACAUUCCAAUUUAGUGGAUAUCAACUUACACAUUCCAAUUCAGUGGAUAUCAACUUAGAGAAGAGGAAACACCAGUUUCAUGUAUAUGCAUGGAUGCAGAGAGAAGCAAAGUAUCCCACCUAAAAACCAGGGGCAACAUCCGCCAAAUAUCAACAACAACAACAACAUACCCAAUGAAAUCCCACAAGCGGGGUCUAGGUAGGAUAGAAUGUACCCAAACCUUACCCCUACCUUGUGGAGGUAGAGAGGCUGUUUCUAUAGGACUCUCGGCUCGAGUAAAGAAAAUCAAAGAAGGUAUGAAAAAGGGAAACGACAGUGAAGAAACACAGCAUCCAACAAGAAAACAUUUAACAACAACAAACUCUUGCAAUAACUGAAACAACAUAAACAACAGAUGAUGAUAGAAAUCAAAAGCAAGACACUACAAGAAUAAGGCUAAUACUACGACAGACACCACCAAGCCUAAACCUGUCGUAAAGCAAAACAACACUCAACUACCGACUAACAUUUUGCUGUAAUCCGUGACCUCCACACCUGCCAAUUAUCAUUCCUUACAAAAAAUUUGAACAACUUCAUAGGCUGAACUUAUCAUGGAAACAAUAAACUCACCUUACUCUAAAUUUGAUUAUAAGCCUAGUUCAAUUAGUUGAAUUUGAAGCAAGCAACGAGAUGUCUACCAUGUUCAAUUAAAAAAAAAAUAGUGUUUCGAAAAUAACAUCUAAAAUAUUCACCAUGUCAACAGUGUAUCCAAAAAAUUACAAUUCCAUAACCUUAAAAAUGUUCAUCUGUGCAACAGAUUUAUUCACACAGACACACAUAAAAUGAUUUCUACUAUAUGAUCCAACAUAUCAGGCGAUAAAUAUCGGAUAUUAAAGCUAAGGUAAUUACAUAAACACUGUGCAUCAGCAUUACAACUUUUUUUUUUGUGACAAAAACUUUUCGCACUCAAAAAAAAUUCAACAAUAACAACAUAUACUAGUAGCCAAGGGUGCCUAGUGGUCAAUC